Molecule: non-coding RNA, 884 nt
Organism: Lonchura striata (white-rumped munia)
Lineage: Eukaryota; Metazoa; Chordata; Aves; Passeriformes; Estrildidae
Source: RefSeq, a predicted model, not a curated record
AAGAGCCCCAAGGACAAUGAUCCACGCCAAAUUCGGGGCCGCGGACCGGAUCGGACGAUCGGCAAGAGGUCCCCGGACAGCGCCGGACCCGCGGAGUAGCCACCAACAUGCCCCCCUAAUGUAAACAGUGCGACUGCGGGAUCAGGACCCCGGGCAACGAGCCGCAAAUUGCCUUUCUGGGCACGCCUCCGAGGACGGAAGCCCCGGUUCUGCUGCGUAGCAGACCCGAUCUUCUUCUCCGCGUCGCCAAGUGGGAGCAGUGGUGGUGUGCACGACCCCUCGGGCCCCCAACCCAGAGCUAGUCAUCUAAUAAAGGCCUUAAAAAGGAGCAGGUCUCCUGGCCCAUUUAUUUCAACUAUGAAAGCUUUUACCUGUCAAGGGUGACACGCACAUAAAAAGCCUGCUGGUGACUCUUGGCUCUUUCUGCUCGAGUUCACUCCUGGAAGUGAGGUGAGGCAUCCGGAGCAUUCAGCUCCUCCCAGUGGGGGAAGGCAGUGCCCCAGAGUCACGGGCAGAGGAGAACACCUGGCAAAAGUGACACCUACCAGAAGUGACAUCCACUAAAGGGAUGUGCCUGUACACGGCGACGAGCGAGGACAAGCGCGCCUCAAGAAAAGGCCCCUGCCUUAGGGGAGGUGAAUGGAUUAUUAAGGGAACGGGGGAGAAGCCAGCCAGCUUCUGCCCUGCUCUGUCCCACCCAGAGAAACCCUCGCCCGAGGCAGAUGCGUGGUGAGAAUCUCUCUAGUCUGAAAUCCGAGCAAUGAGCUGAGGACUGGGUGUUAGCAUUCAGGAACACACAUAAUCAGUGGAUGUGAUUAUAUGUAGGUGCUUGUAUUAAAGAGCUCUGGGAAUCAGGGGUACAGACCCAAAUCUGACUCCAACAU